Molecule: ribosomal RNA, 488 nt
Filed under: uncultured bacterium
Lineage: Bacteria
Description: partial 16S ribosomal RNA
Rfam family: Bacterial small subunit ribosomal RNA
Source: RNAcentral
GAUGAACGCUAGCGGCAGGCCUAAUACAUGCAAGUCGGACGGGAUCCAUCGGUAGCUUGCUAUCCAUGGUGAGAGUGGCGCACGGGUGCGUAACGCGUGAGCAACCUGCCUCCAUCAGGGGGAUAGCCUCUCGAAAGAGAGAUUAACACCGCAUAACAUAUCAGACCGGCAUCGGUCGGAUAUCAAAUAUUUAUAGGAUGGGGAUGGGCUCGCGUGACAUUAGCUUGUUGGUGGGGUAACGGCCCACCAAGGCGACGAUGUCUAGGGGCUCUGAGAGGAGAAUCCCCCACACUGGUACUGAGACACGGACCAGACUCCUACGGGAGGCAGCAGUAAGGAAUAUUGGUCAAUGGGCGGAAGCCUGAACCAGCCAUGCCGCGUGCAGGAUGACUGCCCUAUGGGUUGUAAACUGCUUUUGUCCGGGAAUAAACCUCCUUACGUGUAGGGAGCUGAAUGUACCGGAAGAAUAAGGAUCGGCUAACUCCGUG